GCUGGUCUAUUGAUUUUUGGGGGU
This 24-nucleotide non-coding RNA is filed under the name Cricetulus griseus (Chinese hamster). Lineage: Eukaryota; Metazoa; Chordata; Mammalia; Rodentia; Cricetidae. The record is from RNAcentral.